CGGCGGACGGGUGAGUAACACGUGGAUAACCUACCUAUAAGACUGGGAUAACUUCGGGAAACCGGAGCUAAUACCGGACAAUAUAUUGAACCGCAUGGUUCAAUAGUGAAAGACGGUUUUGCUGUCACUUAUAGAUGGAUCCGCGUCGCAUUAGCUAGUUGGUAAGGUAACGGCUUACCAAGGCAACGAUGCGUAGCCGACCUGAGAGGGUGAUCGGCCACACUGGAACUGAGACACGGUCCAG
This 244-nucleotide ribosomal RNA is filed under the name uncultured Staphylococcus sp. RNAcentral's name for it is "partial 16S ribosomal RNA". It matches the Rfam family "Bacterial small subunit ribosomal RNA", at positions 96 to 334 of the family's 1533-position model. Lineage: Bacteria; Bacillati; Bacillota; Bacilli; Caryophanales; Staphylococcaceae. The record is from RNAcentral.